AUAAUAUAUAACACACAGAAAAUAUGUUUUAAUGUAAUUAUAUUUCAUUUUAUUUUAUUGAAAGCAUAUAUUUGCACAGCAGUGAGGUGUUACUGUUGAGGUAAAAUAAUCAAUAAAUUGGUUCUCUGGUUUAGAUGGCAGCAGAGCACUGUUUUGGUUUAGUGUCUUUUAAAAAUUAAUUGCCAUUUAUUGUGGAAUUUCAUUUGUUCUAAUGAAAUAAAGAAUUAUUGUUUAUGUUAUUUAAUAUGUUAUGUGAUACUUAAUACUGUUCAUGAGAACAAUUAUAUAAUAAAACAUCUAGUACUACAUUCAAUGAUAACACUUCAAAAUGGAAAUAAAAUGUACAAGACAAUUUGUCUAUUUACAAAAUAGAUUUGUCAGCAGUGAUUAUUAAGUAAAGCACAAUGUUAUCUAAACACUGUAUGUAAGUACAUAAUAAUUAAAUAACAUGGAGACACAAGAAGAUUGUACAAUUCGCAGAGGUCAACCUAUUCGAAGAGGACAUACAUCAUCUUCAAUGAUGAUGAACCAAUCACAAUAUUUAAAUAUUGGAAGAUCUACCAUUCGAAUAGCUGUAUAUUUAAUGACAGAAGUUUUUUUAACAAUGGACAUUGAACAAAAUUCCACUGCCCAUCAAAUUCUAACAAUGAUACAGUCUGAAGCAGAAUUAGGAUUAGCAAGAACUCCAUUGCCUACUGGUCAAACAGUGUUUGCUUUGUGGCUCUGUUCAUCAAAACUUGAAGUUCAAUUACGACCAAAUCAUAAGCCUAUCGAAUUAGCAACAAAGUGGAAUCAUUUAGUGAAAAAGUACAGUUCUGAAAGGGAAGAUACCGAUGAAGAACCUUUAUUGUGUCUUAGACGAAAUGUAUUUCUUUCUCGGGCAGAUGAGGAGCAAAUAAAAGAAGCCAAAGUAUUGGAAUUAUUAUAUGCAGAAGCUAGAAAUAAUGUUCUACAAGGACGUUAUCCAUGCGAAGGUCAAGCACGGUACGCCAGCUUGGGAGCUUUGCAAGCACGCAUUGAACUAGGACCAUACAAUCCACAAAAUCAUACAUUAGCAUUUUUCAGACGACAUCGUGGUCGAUUUUUACCGCAUCAUUAUACUUCUCCUAGCCUGUUAUUAGGGCUAGGUCUUGGAUUAGGUUUGGUAGGAGGAAAAGGAGCUCCUGAGGCACGUCUUCUUGAACAAUACAAACGAAUACCUAAUCACACAGGAACUAAUACAAAUUCAAGGAAACUUAUUAGAAAAUAUCUAGAGUUUUGUUGGAGUUUGCCUUGUUAUGGUGCAGCUUUCUUUCAGGGACAGAUUGAACGUCCUGUAAGAGGUCUCGCGUCAUGGAUUACAAAUCGUGAUAUGCAUGUUCUUAUAGCCAUUAAUUCAUCGGGUAUAUACAUUGUUGAUGAUAUGCAAUGUAGUUUAUUAUUAGGUCUGCGGUAUUCAGAGGUGAGUUGGGAAAUGGCGAAGCCAUCCGACGAAGGCAAUAAUGAUGGAUACGUUAAUUUCUGGUUUUGCCGAGGAACAUCGCCGCCACGGAGCUAAUGGCGAUGUGGCAAAUACUGAUCGUUUAAUGGAUCACUCGAUAGGUUCGACUACCGGAAGUUUUACGAAUAAACUUAGCAAAUUUACAUUGGCUACUUUUGACGAUGAAGGUAGAUGCAUCGGAC
This 1662-nucleotide unclassified non-coding RNA is filed under the name Megachile rotundata (alfalfa leafcutting bee). RNAcentral describes it as "fERM domain-containing protein 8, transcript variant X3". The record is from RNAcentral. Lineage: Eukaryota; Metazoa; Arthropoda; Insecta; Hymenoptera; Megachilidae.